AGUGAACGCUGGCGGUAGGCCUAACACAUGCAAGUCGAACGGCAGCACAGUAAGAGCUUGCUCUUACGGGUGGCGAGUGGCGGACGGGUGAGGAAUACAUCGGAAUCUACUUUUUCGUGGGGGUUAACGUAGGGAAACUUACGCUAAUACCGCAUACGACCUACGGGUGAAAGCAGGGGAUCUUCGGACUUUGCGCGAUUGAAUGAGCCGAUGUCGGAUUAGCUAGUUGGCGGGGUAAAGGCCCACCAAGGCGACGGUCCGUAGCUGGUCUGAGAGGAUGAUCAGCCACCCUGGAACUGAGACACGGUCCAGACUACUACUGGAGGCAGCUGUGGGGAAUAUUGGACCAUGGACGCCAGCCUGAUCCAGCCAUACCGCGUAGGUGAAGAAGGCCUUCGGGUUGUAAAUCCCUUUUGUUGGGAAAGAAAAGCAGCAGGUUAAUACCCCGCUGUUCUGACGGUACCCAAAGAAUAAGCACCGGCUAACUUCGUG
This 492-nucleotide ribosomal RNA is filed under the name uncultured bacterium. RNAcentral describes it as "partial 16S ribosomal RNA". It matches the Rfam family "Bacterial small subunit ribosomal RNA", at positions 29 to 507 of the family's 1533-position model. The record is from RNAcentral.